This 659-nucleotide ribosomal RNA is filed under the name Colias elis. Its description in RNAcentral is "partial 16S ribosomal RNA". The record is from RNAcentral. Lineage: Eukaryota; Metazoa; Arthropoda; Insecta; Lepidoptera; Pieridae.
UGGGGGAAAAUUAAUAAAUAAAAUAAAUAAUAAAAAUAAUUAUAAAAAAUAAUUAAUGGGGGUUAAAGUAUUUUUUAGAAAAAAUUUAUUAAUUUAUAGUUUAAUAGUAUUGUGAAAGAAUUUUGAAAUAAAGUUAAAUAUGGAUUAUUAUUUAAGUAAAUUUAAUUUAUUGUAUCUUGUGUAUCAGAGUUUAUUAUAAAAUAUUUUUAAAUAAAAAUAUCUCGAAUUUAAAAGAGAUAGUUAAUUAUUAAAGUUAAUGUUACAUAAUUAUUUUAAAUAAUUAAUUUGAAAUGAAAUGUUAAUCGUUUUUAAAAAUAUCUAGUUUUUUUAGAAAAAAAUUUAAUUUUAAAUUAAUUUAAUAAUUUUUUAAAUUUGUUAUAUAAAAUUAUAUAUUUAAUUAAAUAUUUUAGGGGAUAAGCUUUAAAUUAAAUUUUUAUAAUAUUAAUAAAUUAUUUAAAUAUUUUAAAAUUUAUAUUUUUUAUAAAUUAUAAUUUUUUAUAAAUAAUUUUAUUUAUUUUAAAAUUUAAAUUUAUAUUUAAAUUUAUAUAAAAAAAUAAUUUUUAAUAAUAAAAAAUUAGUUAUAAUGAUAAAAUUAGUAUAUAAGAAAAAAAAAUAAAAUAAAAUUAAUUAAAAUUAAUAAAAAGGAAUUCGGCAAAAAU